RNAcentral lists this ribosomal RNA (467 nucleotides) under uncultured bacterium. RNAcentral's name for it is "partial 16S ribosomal RNA". It matches the Rfam family "Bacterial small subunit ribosomal RNA", at positions 28 to 506 of the family's 1533-position model. The record is from RNAcentral.
GACGAACGCUGGCGGCGUGCUUAACACAUGCAAGUCGAACGGAAAGGCCCUGCUUUUGUGGGGUGCUCGAGUGGCGAACGGGUGAGUAACACGUGAGUAACCUGCCCUUGACUUUGGGAUAACUUCAGGAAACUGGGGCUAAUACCGGAUAGGAGCUCCUGCUGCAUGGUGGGGGUUGGAAAGUUUCGGCGGUUGGGGAUGGACUCGCGGCUUAUCAGCUUGUUGGUGGGGUAGUGGCUUACCAAGGCUUUGACGGGUAGCCGGCCUGAGAGGGUGACCGGCCAAAUGGGGACUGGGAUACGGCCCAGACUCCUACGGGGGGCAGGAGGGGGGAAUAUUGAACAAGGGGCGGAAGCCUGAUGCAGAAACGCCGGGGGGGGGAGGACGGCCUUCGGGUUGUAAACCGCUUUCGCCUGUGACGAAGCGUGAGUGACGGUAAUGGGUAAAGAAGCACCGGCUAACUACGU